AAACAUAACCUUUAGCCAAACAAAUAUUAAAGGCGACGCCUGCCCAGUGAACAAUUAAACGGCCGCGGUACCCUAACCGUGCAAAGGUAGCAUAAUCAUUUGUCUACUAAUUAUAGACCUGUAUGAAAGGCAAAAUGAGGGUCCAACUGUCUCUUAUAAUUAAUCAAUUAAACUGAUCUCCUAGUAAAAAAGCUAGAAUUCUAACACAAGACCAGAAGACCCUGUGAAGCUUAAACUAAACUAUUAAACCACAUAAUAGCUAAUUUCGGUUGGGGCGACCUUGGAAAAAAAAAGAACUUCCAAUACAAUAACCUUCUAAAUACCAACACCCCAGGCUAACAAGCCAUCCAAUGACCCAGCUAAUACUGACAAAUGAAACAAGUUACUCCAGGGAUAACAGCGCAAUCUUCUUUAAGAGCCCAUAUCAAAAAGAAGGUUUACGACCUCGAUGUUGGAUCAGGACAUCCUAAUGGUGCAGACGCUAUUAAGGGUUCGUUUGUUCAACGAUUAAUAGUCCUACGUGAUC
Molecule: ribosomal RNA, 526 nt
Filed under: Tantilla tjiasmantoi
Lineage: Eukaryota; Metazoa; Chordata; Lepidosauria; Squamata; Colubridae
Description: partial 16S ribosomal RNA
Rfam family: Bacterial large subunit ribosomal RNA
Source: RNAcentral